UGAGGAGGCAGAGCUGAGACUGUCAGGACUGCUCGCUAACUCUAUGAACAGGUUUAAGUUUUUGAAACUGAAGUAGGUCUACACAGUAGGAGCUCAUGUCUGUUCUCAUAAGUAAACCAGAGCAAAUCAGGACCAAUGAGGUGAUCUCAGAGUCAAUAGCAUCCUUCUCUAAUCAGGAGAUCAUGAGUAGCUUUCUGCCAGAGGGUUGGUGUUAUGAGCUGCUCACUGUGAUAGGCAAAGGAUUUGAGGACCUGACGACUUUGAAUCUAGCAAGGUACAAACUAACGGGAGAGUAUGUGACUGCACGGAGGAUUAACCUGGAAGCUUGUUCCAGUGAGAUGGUAACAUUCUUGCAGGGCAAGCUGCAUGUCUCUAGACUCUUCAAACAUCCCAAUAUUGUGCCAUAUCAAGCCACCUUUAUUGCAGACAAUGAGCUGUGGGUUGUCACAUCAUUCAUGACGUAUGGUUCUGCAAAGGAUCGCAUCUGUACACACUUCAUGGAUGGCAUGAAUGAGCUGGUGAUCACUUACAUCCUGCAGGGGUGCUGAAGGCUCUCGACUACAUCCACCACAUUGGAUAUGUACACAGCAGUGUCAAAACCAGCCACAUCCUGAUCUCUGUGGAUGGGAAGGUUUACCUGUCUGGUUUGUGCAGCAACCUAAGCGUCAUAAGCCACCGGCGGCAGCAGUGAGUGGUCCACGACUUUCCUGAGUACAGUGUCAAGGCUCUGCUGUGGCUCAGCCCUGAGGUUCCCAGUAGAAUCUCAAGGGUUAUGAUGCUAAGGCUGACAUCUACAGUGUGGGAAUCACAGUGUGUGAUUCCCACAUGUCCCCUUUUAAGGAUAUGUCUACUACCCAGAUGCUGCUGGAAAAAUUGAAUGGCACAGUGCCCUGCCUAUUGGAUACCAGCACCAUCCUCUCCAAGGAGCUGACCAUGAGCUCUUCAUGCUCAGUGGCCAACUCUGGCCUGAAUAAAAGCCUGACCACCAGCACCCCCUGGCCCUCCAAUGGCAACUCGCCUACUCACCCUUACCACCAAACCUUCUCCUCCCACUUCCACCACUUUGUGGAGCAGUGCCUUCAUUGCAACCCAGAUGCCAGGCAGAGCACUAGUACCCUCCUGAACACUUUUUUUCAAGCAGAUCAAGCGAUGUGCCUCAGAGGCUUUGCCUGAAUUGCUUUGUCCUGUCACCCCCAUCACCAGUUUUGAGGGCAGCCAGUCUCAGGACCGCAGUGGAAUCUUUGGCCUGGUAACAAACCUGGAAGAGCUGGAGGUGGACGAUUGGGAGUUCUGAGCCUCUGCAAACUGUGCGCACUCUCCAGCCAGGAAUGCAGAGGCCCUACCUGAGGGCUGGCCACAUUCCCACCUUCCUGGGCAGAUUGGGUAGAAAGGACAUUCUUUCAGGAAAGUUGGCUGCUGACUGAUUAGGAAAGAAAAUCCUGGAAAGACAUUUCUUCACUGCUCCAAGGCUUUUGAAUCUCAACACCCCGGGAUUGGGAGGGUCCAAAGCCAACAUUCUCAGUCCUGUGAGGUCAGGUGACCUCCGCAGAAGGAAGAGAUGCUACUCUGGCCCUGGAAGCUGAAUUCCAAGACCAGGGUUUGACUCAUUAACCCUGAGGACUGCCACCUCUUCCCAGUGCUUGCAACCAGCCUCGUUCUAUUUAACUUUGCCCUCAGAUCCUAUAUGUCAGUGAAGGGCAAGUAGUAAGCUGCCUGCCUCCCUUCCCCUACACCUUUCCCUCAGAAUUGAAGAGAAGGGUAUUUCUGUCUUUUUAAACACAGACUGAGACCGUCCAUCCUUAUCGCUAUUCUGGCUUGGACCCUGACACCUAAAUCUUUCCCACGGUUUAUGUGUGUGCCUCAUUCCCUUCCCACCAAGAACCCAUCUUAGCGCCUCCUGCCAGGUGCCCUGGUGGUUUCUCCAAGGGCCAUCAGUGUCUUGCCUAGCUUGAGGGCUUAAGUCUUUAUGCUGUGUUAGUUUUGUUGUCAGAACAAAUUAAAAUUUCCAGAGAC
RNA transcript from Cebus imitator (Panamanian white-faced capuchin), 2013 nucleotides. It is a transcript of the gene named STE20-related kinase adapter protein alpha-like, with no coding region annotated. The record is from RefSeq and is a predicted model, not a curated record. Lineage: Eukaryota; Metazoa; Chordata; Mammalia; Primates; Cebidae. The transcript has a single exon.